UGAACAUCGGUAAAGAAUGAUGUUAGAAAGUUUGUCUUGCCUGGUAUCAUCAGUUGAUUAAGGUUCAUUAUCGGUUUCCUUCUUGCUGGCAUCCCUUGGUAUCUAGGUGCGUUUGUCCUGCUUUGUGCACAGAGAAACUAGGAUACAUCGUGUGCACUAUUGCUGCUGUUCUUGCUACUUUUGCCCUCAUAUUCGGUCUGACGAACACCUGAUUGGAGAGUGGUCAUCAAUCCGUGUGGAUUCAUAUCGGAACUCUAUCUGGCUUGAUAAUAUUGAUAGAUUAUAUUGUUAGCAGAAAGGAGUAUAUGCAUAUUUACAUGCCUUGAAGGUGCUGUUUCCCCAAUAAAGUAAGAUUAGUUAACAAUCUCAAUAAUUUAUGCACUGUUGAUAAAUAUAACAAAGAUUGGAAAGAUUUUUAAUUUGUUUGUCUUCAAAUCGUUAUAGUAAAUAUAAGAUGACAUAUAUACUUUUAACUAUGGAGCUCAAACUUUAGGACAUAGAGUUCGGAUUUGAGGAUCCGAGCUUGAAAUUUGUAUCUGUCCAGGGGGCAAUGGUAAAAUUUUCUUUUUUGGGUAAACUAUAAUAGAAGCGUGAGUAAGGCCUCUAGGAUCGACAUGGCUGCUAUGUGUCAUUCACAUUAAUCUUGAGGGCAUUUUCGACUUUUAAAAGAAUGAAGCAACGUGUCCUGGUUGUGAAGCACCAGCGCGUCCUUCGUAUUCUCCUUUGUUAACCUGUUCUCUCUUUCUCUCUCCAAAUGGCAC
Molecule: long non-coding RNA, 761 nt
Organism: Lycium ferocissimum
Lineage: Eukaryota; Viridiplantae; Streptophyta; Magnoliopsida; Solanales; Solanaceae
Exons: 4
Source: RefSeq, a predicted model, not a curated record